AGAGUUUGAUCAUGGCUCAGGACGAACGCUGGCGGCGUGGAUUAGGCAUGCAAGUCGGACGGUAGGGCUUUAUCGUAAGAUAGAGUUUGAGAGUGGCGAACGGGUGAGUAACACGUAGGAAUCUACCCUUAAGACGGGGACAACCCAGGGAAACUUGGGCUAAUACCGGAUGAGAGUGCGAGAGAUUGCAUUUAAAAGGAUGGCGAAAGUUGUCGCUUAGGGAUGAGCCUGCGGUCUAUUAGUUAGUUGGUGAGGUAAGAGCUCACCAAGGCGAUGAUAGAUAGGCGGCCUUAACGGGUGGUCGCCCACACUGGGAUUGAGAUACGGCCCAGACUCCUACGGGAGGCAGCAGUCGAGAAUAGUCUACAAUGGCCGGAAGGCUGAUAGUGCGACGCCGCGUGAACGAGGGAGCCCUUCGGGGUGUAAAGUUCUUUUCUAUACGAGCAGUGCUAUAUAUAUGGAUAGUAUAUAUAGAGGGAUAGUAGUAUAGGAAUAAGCAACGGCUAACUCCGUGCCAGCAGCCGCGGUAACACGGGGGUUGCGAGCGUUGUCCGGAAUUACUAGGCGUAAAGGGCAGGUAGGCGGAUCUACGAGUUUUUUGUUAAAGGCUACGGCUCAACUGUAGUAGAGCAGGAGAUACUGUAGGUCUGGAAUGCGGUAGGGGAAGACAGAAUUCCUGGUGUAGCGGUGGAAUGCGCAGAGAUCAGGAGGAAUACCGAAGGCGAAGGCAGUCUUCUAGGCCGUAAUUGACGCUUAACUGCGAAGGUGUGGGGAUCAAACAGGAUUAGAUACCCUGGUAGUCCACACAGUAAACGAUAAUCACUAGAUGUCGGGUUCUAGAUGGAUUCGGUGUCGGAGCAAACGCGAUAAGUGAUUCGCCUGGGGAGUACGAUCGCAAGGUUGAAACUCAAAUGAAUUGACGG
This 923-nucleotide ribosomal RNA is filed under the name uncultured bacterium. RNAcentral describes it as "bacterial SSU rRNA". It matches the Rfam family "Bacterial small subunit ribosomal RNA", at positions 8 to 916 of the family's 1533-position model. The record is from RNAcentral.